UAGGAAUCUCGGCGCAAGCCAUCAUGCACCUAGUUAUACUAGGGCAGCCAAGCUCAUCCACGUCUGGAUAUUCGGAGUGUUGAGUUUAUCCUCUCGCUUUGGAGAGCACAGUUGGUCCCUCGGGGGGUGCAAUCUUCUUUUGAAGUGUAGAAAGAAAUAAGUUGUUGUAGACAUAUAAUAAAGCCAAGUUACAAAUUACUUCUGAAUUCUUUAUUGAAAAAUAAAAUGAGCAAAUAACUUGAUUGCAAAAAACUGCAUGAUGAUUGGAUAGUCCUCGGUUUACGAGGUGGUGCCCGUUGAGCUGCUCGAGUCUUCGGGUCUUGAUAUAGUGUGAAGUCACACAUGGUAUUUCCUCAAAUUGUAGGCAUUCCAUUGCUUCUCGAUCUCUUUAUCAUUCAUGGUAGCAAGAGUAUAACUACCCUUGCCGCCUACUCGACUGAUCUUGUAAGGACCCUUCCAGAUGGGGUCCAUUUUUUUCGAGCCUUCUCUGCGGGCAGUGAUGAAGGUCUUUCUUAGGACUAGGUCUCCGGGUUGGAAUUGCCGGAUCUUGGCCCUUUUAUUGUAGCUGGAAAUGAGCUGUU
RNAcentral lists this long non-coding RNA (581 nucleotides) under Malus domestica (apple). Its description in RNAcentral is "long non-coding RNA (MDOM_LNC005824)". The record is from RNAcentral. Lineage: Eukaryota; Viridiplantae; Streptophyta; Magnoliopsida; Rosales; Rosaceae.